GGCAUCAAACCAUCAAAAACCCCAACUACAACACAUCAAGCAACUCACAUUGUUCAUAAACACAUAUAAAACCCAUAAACCUAACCAUGAGCUAAACAUGCAUUCUACCCCAUAGAUCUACUUAAAACUUACUUAAAACAUGCAAUGAGCUUAAGAUCGGCUCUUACCUCGUGGAGAUAGAGAGAGAGACGACCUAAACUCGGAG
Molecule: long non-coding RNA, 205 nt
Filed under: Manihot esculenta (cassava)
Lineage: Eukaryota; Viridiplantae; Streptophyta; Magnoliopsida; Malpighiales; Euphorbiaceae
Description: long non-coding RNA (MESC_LNC012323)
Source: RNAcentral